This 247-nucleotide ribosomal RNA is filed under the name uncultured bacterium. Its description in RNAcentral is "partial 16S ribosomal RNA". It matches the Rfam family "Bacterial small subunit ribosomal RNA", at positions 15 to 252 of the family's 1533-position model. The record is from RNAcentral.
GAUCAUGGCUCAGGAUGAACGCUAGCGGCAGGCCUAACACAUGCAAGUCGAGGGGCAUCGGGAUUGAAGCUUGCUUCAAUUGCCGGGCGACCGGCGCACGGGUGCGUAACGCGUAUGUAACCUACCUAUAACAGGGGCAUAACACUGAGAAAUUGGUACUAAUUCCCCAUAAUAUUCGGAGAGGCACCUCUCCGGGUUGAAAACUCCGGUGGUUAUAGAUGGACAUGCGUUAGUAUUAGCUAGUUGG